GUUCAAAAUCUCCUAUUAUGACCAAUUGGAUGACUGUCUUCUCCCUUAGUGGACUCCUCAGGAACAACAUGGACCUCCAAAACACCCAGGGGCAUAUGGAUUGUGGAGCACUGGGAGAAACAGCCAGGAUCCUCCCUUGGGCAAUUGUCUUCUGACAGGGAGCAGCAACUUUGCUUUGCUGUAAGAGAGGCCUGAGCACUGUUGUAUCCUGUUCAUUAGUCCAUUUAAAAUCAAGGUUUUUCCCACAUUUUAUGCCAUCCACAUCUUUGAUUUUGACAGUGAAAUCUUGGAGGAGCCUUGAGCUGUGUUCCCAUGCAGUGCCAAGCCUGGACACUUCCAGGCUGAUGUGCCUCUAACCUGCUGUGAGA
This 368-nucleotide long non-coding RNA is filed under the name Parus major (Great Tit). Its description in RNAcentral is "lncRNA (ENSPMJG00000000409.1)". The record is from RNAcentral. Lineage: Eukaryota; Metazoa; Chordata; Aves; Passeriformes; Paridae.